GAACUGCGAUAGAUACUAUGAAUAGCAGAAUUCAGUUAGCCGGUGAGUACGCCAAUUUCAGUGCCACAACGCCAUGGCGAUUUAUCGUCAUCGGUGGUGGGGCCUUGCCUGAAAUUCAAUUGGUAUCAAAUCAGGCAGGACUACCCAUUGAACUUGA
RNAcentral lists this unclassified non-coding RNA (157 nucleotides) under uncultured fungus. Its description in RNAcentral is "sequence contains ITS1". Lineage: Eukaryota; Fungi. The record is from RNAcentral.